This 571-nucleotide small RNA is filed under the name Pan troglodytes (chimpanzee). RNAcentral describes it as "processed transcript". The record is from RNAcentral. Lineage: Eukaryota; Metazoa; Chordata; Mammalia; Primates; Hominidae.
GAAUCGCCGUGAAGAAAGCGCAACUACGCUCCGCUCCGCGGGCCAAGAAACUGGAGAAACUCGGAGUGUACUCCGCCUGCAAGGCCGAGGAGUCUUGUAAAUGUAAUGGCUGGAAAAACCCUAACCCCUCACCCACUCCCCCCAGAGCCGAUCUGCAGCAAAUAAUUGUCAGUCUAACAGAAUCCUGUCGGAGUUGUAGCCAUGCCCUAGCUGCUCAUGUUUCCCACCUGGAGAAUGUGUCAGAGGAAGAAAUGAACAGACUCCUGGGAAUAGUAUUGGAUGUGGAGUAUCUCUUUACCUGUGUCCACAAGGAAGAAGAUGCAGAUACCAAACAAGUUUAUUUCUAUCUAUUUAAGCUCUUGAGAAAGUCUAUUUUACAAAGAGGAAAACCUGUGGUUGAAGGCUCUUUGGAAAAGAAACCCCCAUUUGAAAAACCUAGCAUUGAACAGGGGUUUUGACCUUUUCAGUCCAUGGUUUUGAUUUUCUCCUUAAUGCUUCAGGAUUUCAGCAGGCGUAGAAUCACAACUCACAGCCUCUCUGUCUUGUCACUUUUCAUCCACCGUGAUCUGAG